RNAcentral lists this ribosomal RNA (330 nucleotides) under uncultured soil bacterium. Its description in RNAcentral is "bacterial SSU rRNA". It matches the Rfam family "Bacterial small subunit ribosomal RNA", at positions 26 to 362 of the family's 1533-position model. The record is from RNAcentral.
AGAUUGAACGCUGGCGGCAUGCCUUACACAUGCAAGUCGAACGGUAGAGUAGCAAUACUCGAGAGUGGCGAACGGGUGAGUAAUAUGUCGGAACGUGCCCAGUCGUGGGGGAUAACGUAGAGAAAUUUACGCUAAUACCGCAUACGAUCUACGGAUGAAAGCGGGGGAUCGCAAGACCUCGCGCGAUUGGAGCGGCUGAUAUCAGAUUAGGUUGUUGGUGAGGUAAAAGCUCACCAAGCCGACGAUCUGUAGCUGGUUUGAGAGAACGACCAGCCACACGUGGGACUGAGACACGGCCCAGACCUCCGUACGGGAGCAGCAGUGGGGUAA